AUUUAAAGAAAGCGUAAUAGCUCACUGGUCGAGUCGGCCUGCGCGGAAGAUGUAACGGGGCUAAACCAUGCACCGAAGCUGCGGCAGCGAACGUAUCACUUAAAGCGAUUCAGCGGGUUACGAUUGACGGAGCGAAGCGACGUCAAAGCGUAUACAAAGUCGAGUCGGUUUAAGGAUACGUUCGUUGGGUAGGGGAGCGUUCUGUAAGCCUGCGAAGGUGGCCUGUGAGGGUUGCUGGAGGUAUCAGAAGUGCGAAUGCUGACAUAAGUAACGAUAAAGCGGGUGAAAAGCCCGCUCGCCGGAAGACCAAGGGUUCCUGUCCAACGUUAAUCGGGGCAGGGUGAGUCGACCCCUAAGGCGAGGCCGAAAGGCGUAGUCGAUGGGAAACGGGUUAAUAUUCCCGUACUUGGUGUUACUGCGAAGGGGGGACGGAGAAGGCUAUGUUGGCCGGGCGACGGUUGUCCCGGUUUAAGCGUGUAGGCUGGUUUUCCAGGCAAAUCCGGAAAAUCAAGGCUGAGGCGUGACGACGAGGCACUACGGUGCUGAAGCAACAAAUGCCCUGCUUCCAGGAAAAGCCUCUAAGCAUCAGGUAACACGAAAUCGUACCCCAAACCGACACAGGUGGUCAGGUAGAGAAUACCAAGGCGCUUGAGAGAACUCGGGUGAAGGAACUAGGCAAAAUGGUGCCGUAACUUCGGGAGAAGGCACGCUGACACGUAGGUGAAGUGAUUUACUCAUGGAGCUGAAGUCAGUCGAAGAUACCAGCUGGCUGCAACUGUUUAUUAAAAACACAGCACUGUGCAAACACGAAAGUGGACGUAUACGGUGUGACGCCUGCCCGGUGCCGGAAGGUUAAUUGAUGGGGUCAGCGCAAGCGAAGCUCCUGAUCGAAGCCCCGGUAAACGGCGGCCGUAACUAUAACGGUCCUAAGGUAGCGAAAUUCCUUGUCGGGUAAGUUCCGACCUGCACGAAUGGCGUAAUGAUGGCCAGGCUGUCUCCACCCGAGACUCAGUGAAAUUGAACUCGCUGUGAAGAUGCAGUGUACCCGCGGCAAGACGGAAAGACCCCGUGAACCUUUACUAUAGCUUGACACUGAACAUUGAGCCUUGAUGUGUAG
RNAcentral lists this ribosomal RNA (1117 nucleotides) under Salmonella enterica subsp. enterica serovar Thompson. RNAcentral's name for it is "partial 23S ribosomal RNA". It matches the Rfam family "Bacterial large subunit ribosomal RNA", at positions 1121 to 2141 of the family's 2925-position model. The record is from RNAcentral. RNAcentral also lists the same sequence under 1 other name. Lineage: Bacteria; Pseudomonadati; Pseudomonadota; Gammaproteobacteria; Enterobacterales; Enterobacteriaceae.